RNAcentral lists this unclassified non-coding RNA (378 nucleotides) under plant metagenome. RNAcentral's name for it is "partial contains 5.8S ribosomal RNA, internal transcribed spacer 2, and large subunit ribosomal RNA". The stretch from base 1 to 105 matches the Rfam family "5.8S ribosomal RNA", at positions 50 to 154 of the family's 154-position model. The record is from RNAcentral.
GAAAUGCGAUAAGUAAUGUGAAUUGCAGAAUUCAGUGAAUCAUCGAAUCUUUGAACGCACCUUGCGCUCCUUGGUAUUCCUUGGAGCAUGCCUGUUUGAGUAUCAUGAAAUCUUCAAAGUAAAUCUUUUGUUAACUCAAUUGGUUUCUACUUUGGUAUUGGAGGUCUUUGCAGCUUCACAUCUGCUCCUCUUUGUUCAUUAGCUGGAUCUCAGUGUUAUGCUUGGUUCCACUCGGCGUGAUAAGUUAUCUAUCGCUGAGGACACUGUAAAAGGUGGCCAAGGUAAAUGCAGAUGAACCGCUUCUAAUAGUCCAUUGACUUGGACAAUACUUUUAUGAUCUGAUCUCAAAUCAGGUAGGACUACCCGCUGAACUUAAGC